UAGGGAAUCUUCGGCAAUGGGGGGAACCCUGACCGAGCAACGCCGCGGGAGUGAAGAAGGUUUUCGGAUCGUAAAGCUCUGUUGUUAAGGAAGAACGAGUGUGAGAAUGGAAAGUUCAUACUGUGACGGUACUUAACCAGAAAGGGACGGCUAACUACGUGCCAGCAGCCGCGGUAAUACGUAGGUCCCGAGCGUUGUCCGGAUCUAUUGGGCGUAAAGCGAGCGCAGGCGGUUAGAUAAGUCUGAAGUUAAAGGCAGUGGCUCAACCAAUGUAGGCUUUGGAAACUGUGUAACUUGAGGGCAGAAGGGGAGAGUGGAAUUCGUUGUGUAGCGGAGAAAUGCGUAGAUAUAUGGAGGAACACCGGUGGCGAAAGCGGCUCUCUGGUCUGUAACUGACGCUGAGGCUCGAAAGCGUGGGGAACGAACAGG
RNAcentral lists this ribosomal RNA (429 nucleotides) under Bacteroidota bacterium. Its description in RNAcentral is "Bacteroidetes bacterium partial 16S ribosomal RNA". It matches the Rfam family "Bacterial small subunit ribosomal RNA", at positions 355 to 776 of the family's 1533-position model. The record is from RNAcentral. Lineage: Bacteria; Pseudomonadati; Bacteroidota.